UCGAGCGGAAAGGCCCUUCGGGGUACUCGAGCGGCGAACGGGUGAGUAACACGUGAGUAACCUGCCCUAGGCUUUGGGAUAACCCUCGGAAACGGGGGCUAAUACCGAAUAUGACUUCCUGCCGCAUGGUGGGGGGUGGAAAGUUUUUCGGCCUGGGAUGGACUCGCGGCCUAUCAGCUUGUUGGUGGGGUAACGGCCUACCAAGGCGACGACGGGUAGCCGGCCUGAGAGGGCGACCGGCCACACUGGGACUGAGACACGGCCCAGACUCCUACGGGAGGCAGCAGUGGGGAAUAUUGCACAAUGGGCGAAAGCCUGAUGCAGCGACGCCGCGUGAGGGAUGACGGCCUUCGGGUUGUAAACCUCUUUCAGCAGGGACGAAGCGUAAGUGACGGUACCUGCAGAAGAAGCGCCGGCCAACUACGUGCCAGCAGCCGCGGUAAGACGUAGGGCGCGAGCGUUGUCCGGAUUUAUUGGGCGUAAAGAGCUCGUAGGCGGCUUGUCGCGUCGACUGUGAAAACCCACAGCUCAACUGUGGGCCUGCAGUCGAUACGGGCAGGCUAGAGUUCGGUAGGGGAGACUGGAAUUCCUGGUGUAGCGGUGGAAUGCGCAGAUAUCAGGAGGAACACCGGUGGCGAAGGCGGGUCUCUGGGCCGAUACUGACGCUGAG
RNAcentral lists this ribosomal RNA (670 nucleotides) under Micromonospora sp. FXJ6.349. RNAcentral describes it as "bacterial SSU rRNA". It matches the Rfam family "Bacterial small subunit ribosomal RNA", at positions 62 to 750 of the family's 1533-position model. Lineage: Bacteria; Bacillati; Actinomycetota; Actinomycetes; Micromonosporales; Micromonosporaceae. The record is from RNAcentral.